CAUGUAAUUUAAAACACGUUCUCGUCUCGAGAAUACAUAGAACAAACAUGCCAAACACGCCAAGAAAUCACAGAACCAAGCAUACACAUAGCUCAUUACAAUUAUAAGACGGAAAAUAAANNNNNNNNNNNNNNNNNNNNCCUUACCUCGGCAAGCUUCCAACACAAUCAACUUACACUACACGAGCAAACCCGUCUCUCUCGACGAAAUCUCCAAUCCGGCUAAUUCUCUUAACCCUUAAUCAUUCAACUUAAUUAAGUUAAUACCACAUUCUAAUUGGUCAGUCAAAUAAGCCCUAGCUCGGCUACUAAUGGAUCAAGACCUAUGGUUCUUUCCUCACAACUAACUAGGCUCAAAUAAUUUUCAAAACAACUCUUUGAAAACAUUGACACUUUAAUACAAUAGUUUGCAUCACAAAAACUUCAUUAAAUAAAACUUCACUAAUUUAAAACUUUUUCGAAAACAAUAUCUUUUCAACCAAGUUCUACACUUUUCUUCAAACUAAAACAAGAUCGCAAAUGUUUAAGCCUUUUAAAACACAAU
RNAcentral lists this long non-coding RNA (543 nucleotides) under Trifolium pratense (red clover). RNAcentral's name for it is "long non-coding RNA (TPRA_LNC007067)". The record is from RNAcentral. Lineage: Eukaryota; Viridiplantae; Streptophyta; Magnoliopsida; Fabales; Fabaceae.